This 253-nucleotide ribosomal RNA is filed under the name uncultured bacterium. RNAcentral describes it as "partial 16S ribosomal RNA". It matches the Rfam family "Bacterial small subunit ribosomal RNA", at positions 524 to 776 of the family's 1533-position model. The record is from RNAcentral.
GACGGAGGGGGCUAGCGUUGUUCGGAAUGACUGGGCGUAAAGGGUGCGUAGGCGGUUUUUUAAGUAAGGUGUGAAAGCCCUGGGCUUAACCCAGGAACUGCGCUUUAAACUGGAGAACUGGAGUGUGAGAGAGGAAGGUGGAAUUCCUAGUGUAGGGGUGAAAUCCGUAGAGAUUGGGAAGAAUAUCAGAGGCGAAGGCGGCCUUCUGGAUCACAACUGACGCUGAGGCACGAAAGCGUGGGGAGCAAACAGG